This 1587-nucleotide long non-coding RNA is filed under the name Corvus moneduloides (New Caledonian crow). Its description in RNAcentral is "lncRNA (ENSCMUG00000019268.1)". Lineage: Eukaryota; Metazoa; Chordata; Aves; Passeriformes; Corvidae. The record is from RNAcentral.
UUACUUGAUGUCUCCAGAUGACCCUUUCAAAAUUCCAUAGUCUUCCUUCAGCUUUCAGGAUUGUGGCAGGUUUGGGGCACAUCUGAUAAGCAGAGGCAAUACAUCUGUGAGUAAUUAUCUUCUGUUAUUAGAAACAUCUUUCCCUCACUAUGCUCUAGAGGGUAUUUGGGCAUCUACAGGAUUGUCCCCAGGUAAACAAUACAUGCUCUGCCUUUUCUUUUUUCUUAAAGAAUUAAUAUAAAAUCAUCUAGGUAUAUAAAUGAAAAUUACCACUGUAUCUAAACGUUCUUUACAUCACACGGUGGUGCUCUUGGAGAAACUAAUAAAAAUGUGACAUUACAAAUGUGAGGUACAAUAUACACUACACCUAAACUCUGAAAAAAAUAUAGGCUCUAAACUGAUAUAUAAUGAAAAUGUACAUAAUUUCUAUCAAAUUUGGGUAGUUCUUAUGAUUCCAGCUUUUUAUCCUGUUCUUGACAUAUCUUGCAAGGAACUUACUCGGUCUUUUUUUUCUCAGAAUUAUGAAAUCUGAAAUUUGUAGUAGAUCGUUUGUCUGAGAAUGCAAAAUGUGAUGUAUUUUGUUUCUUUCGGAUUCCAAUUUAUUAUAGUUUGAUAUCAAGUGUUCUCUGAUAGAAUUAGAAUCAAACUUCAUUUCCCAUUGUGUUGUAGAGGAAAACAGCUGGUAGAAUGAGUCCUCAAAAAUCUGUGUAGUUUAUAUAUAUUAUAUUGCUUUUUACAUGAGUGAUCAUAAGAGCGUAAUUGUAAUACUCUUUACAAUGACGGUUUGAAAUAAAAAUUGAAAAUUAUUGUAGUUUUGAUUAAAUAUUUUUCCUCUCUCACCUUAGAAAAACAGACACAUUUUCCCCUACCCCAAACUAUUCACUUAUUUCCUUUCAGGUUUCCUCUUGGCUUUGGUAUACAGUAAGUAUAUGACAGAAAAUCAUAUCGCUCAGCUAUAAUAUUAUUUUUAUUUUCAAAUCCACUUUCCAUUGUUCCUCAGGAGUAAUAUUGGAAAAGGGAUAUAAUUUUUUAAAGGAAAUUAACAUAUUAUUAAGGGUAGAUAACACCAGUCUCAUAGAGCCCCACUGCUUGCUGAAAUCAUAAAAAUAAUAACUAUAUUUUCUCUUAAAGUAUUCUGUUCUAUGAACUGUAUAUAAAAUACAGUGUUAGUUGCUUCAGGCCCAUGAGAUCUAAAAUACUUACAGUGUUUGCAUAAAUGAUGACAUUAUAAGAAUCAUUUCUGUUUUAAGAUUGCUAUUUUAAAAAGAACAACAACAUAGAUGUGGUUGCUAUUACUUGUUCUGCUGUUUUGGUGAGAAACUGUAUUUUUAGAUUGAAAAAAUUUGACUUUUGACCAUAGCAAGUUGAAAAUGGGAGCUGGGCUUUAAUAAAAAUAUUCACAUGCCAUGUCAAAUCACCUAAUUUAAAGCAUAGCUUUUGAGUUAGAGUCGCCCAUUGAUGACUAGAGUAUUUUCUGAGUGGGAAUUAGUGACCUGUGAGUUUACAACAAGGUGUCAUAUUAUUUGAGUUCUGGAAGUAAAGUCAGUAAUCAAGGUCCUGUUGUAUUUACAGUGGCUUGAGACUUUU